ACGCACGCUGGCGGCGUGCUUCACCCCUGCAAGUCGCACGGAAAGGCCCUGCUUUUGUGGGGUGCUCGAGUGGCGAACGGGUGAGUAACACGUGAGUAACCUGCCCUUGACUUUGGGAUAACUUCAGGAAACUGGGGCUAAUACCGGAUAGGAGCUCCUGCUGCAUGGUGGGGGUUGGAAAGUUUCGGCGGUUGGGGAUGGACUCGCGGCUUAUCAGCUUGUUGGUGGGGUAGUGGCUUACCAAGGCUUUGACGGGUAGCCGGCCUGAGAGGGUGACCGGCCACAUUGGGACUGAGAUACGGCCCAGACUCCUACGGGAGGCCGCAGUGGGGAAUAUUGCACAAUGGGCGGAAGCCUGAUGCAGCAACGCCGCGUGCGGGAUGACGGCCUUCGGGUUGUAAACCGCUUUCGCCUGUGACGAAGCGUGAGUGACGGUAAUGGGUAAAGAAGCACCGGCUAACUACGUG
RNAcentral lists this ribosomal RNA (467 nucleotides) under uncultured bacterium. RNAcentral's name for it is "partial 16S ribosomal RNA". It matches the Rfam family "Bacterial small subunit ribosomal RNA", at positions 29 to 507 of the family's 1533-position model. The record is from RNAcentral.